CAUAUUCUUGAUAGGUUGUUCUUCAGAUUUACAGGUAUGCAGUCUCCUGGACUUAAUUACAAAAUAUAUUAAUUUCAAACAGUUUAUACUACAGAUGAAUACAGUAUCAGCCAUGUCUGUCUAUUGAAGAGUUCCCCUUCAUAAAUCCUUUCAUAUUAACCACAAGAUCUAUUUAAAAAUACAGGGGCAGGCUUUGAAAAUGAAUAUAGUUGCAACAUGGUUUAAGUAAAUGCUCCUAUCGAAGGUCAGUUUGUGAUUAAUGUUCACAUAGAAGAGCAGCCAUUAAAACUACCAUUUGUUUUGUCUCUUUGUUGUUUACAUGGGAUGCUGUCGGCCUAAUUUUUUUAUAUUUUGCUUUAAAUAGCACUUAUCGGGCAAUAGAUUUACUGAUUUGAUUUGAAUCUUGCUUCCUGGUAUAGGUUUUGCUCAUUGUUAAAGGCCCUCCCAAACAAUAAUCUACAAUUAUAUUCUAUUCUGAUUUUAUGACUAUACAUGUAUUGUGAACAAUAAUUGUGUCAUUUGCAAUCCUAUCACAUUACCUUAUUCUUAUCAUACUAAUAUUAAUGGGAAAUUACAUUCCAGUCAAUCUACCAAGAAUAAUUGUGUCAUUUGCAAUUAUAUCACAUUUCCUUAUUCCUUGCCUCUUUCCAGCCCUUAUCAUGAUACAUCUGCAGUAGAAAUUAUUCUGAGGAUUCAACACACAUAUUUUAGUAGUUUGUUAUUAUUCCCCGUUUCAAAGUGUUACCAGGGUAUGCUCUUAACAACCUGCCCCCUUCCCCUUUUAUAUAAGUUGCCUUUAUGAAAAUAGCCUUAUGAUCCAAGCCACUAAGGG
Molecule: long non-coding RNA, 832 nt
Filed under: Mytilus galloprovincialis (Mediterranean mussel)
Lineage: Eukaryota; Metazoa; Mollusca; Bivalvia; Mytilida; Mytilidae
Source: RNAcentral